Molecule: ribosomal RNA, 506 nt
Filed under: uncultured bacterium
Lineage: Bacteria
Description: partial 16S ribosomal RNA
Rfam family: Bacterial small subunit ribosomal RNA
Source: RNAcentral
GAUGAACGCUAGCUACAGGCUUAACACAUGCAAGUCGAGGGGUAACGAGAGGGAAGCUUGCUUUCCUUGUCGACGACCGGCGCACGGGUGAGUAACGCGUAUCCAACCUGCCCCCAACUAAGGAAUAACCUUGCGAAAGUAAGACUAAUACCCUAUAAUUUCCUCAGAUGACAUCUGACGAGGAAUAAAGAUUUAUCGGUUGUGGAUGGGGAUGCGUCUGAUUAGCUUGUUGGCGGGGUAACGGCCCACCAAGGCAACGAUCAGUAGGGGUUCUGAGAGGAAGGUCCCCCACAUUGGAACUGAGACACGGUCCAAACUCCUACGGGAGGCAGCAGUGAGGAAUAUUGGUCAAUGGGCGGAAGCCUGAACCAGCCAAGUAGCGUGCAGGAUGACGGCCCUAUGGGUUGUAAACUGCUUUUAUACAGGAGUAAAGUUAGCCACGUGUGGUUAUUUGUAGGUACUGUAUGAACAAGGACCGGCUAAUUCCGUGCCAGCAGCCGCCGUAA